ACAGCAGUAGCCACGGUAAUACGUAGGGUGCGAGCGUUAAUCGGAAUUACUGGGCGUAAAGCGUGCGCAGGCGGUUGUGUAAGACAGGUGUGAAAUCCCCGGGCUUAACCUGGGAACUGCGCUUGUGACUGCACAGCUAGAGUAUGGCAGAAGGGGGUGGAAUUCCACGUGUAGCAGUGAAAUGCGUAGAGAUGUGGAGGAACACCGAUGGCGAAGGCAGCCCCUGGGCCAAUACUGACGCUCAUGCACGAAAGCAUGGGGAGCAAGCAGGAUUAGAUACCCCCGUAGUCCCUGUCUCUUAUACC
This 305-nucleotide ribosomal RNA is filed under the name uncultured bacterium. RNAcentral's name for it is "partial 16S ribosomal RNA". It matches the Rfam family "Bacterial small subunit ribosomal RNA", at positions 505 to 808 of the family's 1533-position model. The record is from RNAcentral.